GUGUUGAACAGCUACUGGUGCAGAACCCAUUUUGAUAGUCUGAAAUAGGUGCUUCAUAAAAGCAGUGUUAAAGAAGCAGAACUUUUUAGCAAUCAAGAUUCCUCACAACUCUCUUGGAUUCGCCUGAUGAUGAAAAUGGAAGCAAAGAAAAUUUGACAGACAUGUUUGUUAUAUCCUCCUAUUCUGAAGCCAGCUUAAACAUCAUAUUUUCAGUCUGAAAGUGUCCAAAAAAGCUCUGUUCAGAAAUUUAUUCUGAAUGUAUAUGACUAGCUUGCAUUUGUGCUAAUCAAACAUAUUGGUCAUUGUAGUCUUAUUCUUUAGUUCAGCAUCAAGUACUAUAUAUGAAAUUAGGUUGCCAUAUUA
This is a long non-coding RNA of Chenopodium quinoa (quinoa), 363 nucleotides long. RefSeq lists it as uncharacterized. Lineage: Eukaryota; Viridiplantae; Streptophyta; Magnoliopsida; Caryophyllales; Amaranthaceae. The transcript is spliced from 2 exons. The record is from RefSeq and is a predicted model, not a curated record.